This 496-nucleotide ribosomal RNA is filed under the name uncultured bacterium. Its description in RNAcentral is "partial 16S ribosomal RNA". It matches the Rfam family "Bacterial small subunit ribosomal RNA", at positions 29 to 507 of the family's 1533-position model. The record is from RNAcentral.
AUGAACGCUGGCGGCGUGCCUAAUACAUGCAAGUCGAGCGAACGGACGAGAAGCUUGCUUUUCUGAUGUUAGCGGCGGACGGGUGAGUAACACGUGGAUAACCUACCUAUAAGACUGGGAUAACUUCGGGAAACCGGAGCUAAUACCGGAUAAUAUUUUGAACCGCAUGGUUCAUAAGUGAAAGACGGUCUUGCUGUCACUUAUAGAUGGAUCCGCGCUGCAUUAGCUAGUUGGUAAGGUAACGGCUUACCAAGGCAACGAUGCAUAGCCGACCUGAGAGGGUGAUCGGCCACACUGGAACUGAGACACGGUCCAGACUCCUACGGGAGGCAGCAGUAGGGAAUCUUCCGCAAUGGGCGAAAGCCUGACGGAGCAACGCCGCGUGAGUGAUGAAGGUCUUCGGAUCAUAAAACUCUGUUAUUAGGGAAGAACAUAUGUGUAAGUAACUGUGCACAUCUUGACGGUACCUAAUCAGAAAGCCACGGCUAACUACGUG